RNAcentral lists this ribosomal RNA (497 nucleotides) under uncultured bacterium. RNAcentral describes it as "partial 16S ribosomal RNA". It matches the Rfam family "Bacterial small subunit ribosomal RNA", at positions 28 to 507 of the family's 1533-position model. The record is from RNAcentral.
GAUGAACGCUGGCGGCGUGCCUAAUACAUGCAAGUCGAGCGAACAGACGAGGAGCUUGCUCCUCUGACGUUAGCGGCGGACGGGUGAGUAACACGUGGAUAACCUACCUAUAAGACUGGGAUAACUUCGGGAAACCGGAGCUAAUACCGGAUAAUAUAUUGAACCGCAUGGUUCAAUAGUGAAAGACGGCUUUGCUGUCACUAAUAGAUGGAUCCGCGCCGCAUUAGCUAGUUGGUAAGGUAACGGCUUACCAAGGCAACGAUGCGUAGCCGACCUGAGAGGAUGAUCAGCCACACUGGAACUGAGACACGGUCCAGACUCCUACGGGAGGCAGCAGUAGGGAAUCUUCCGCAAAGGGCGAAAGCCUGACGCAGCAACGCCGCGUGAGUGAUGAAGGUCUUCGGAUCGUAAAGCUCUGUUAUUAGGGAAGAACAGAUGUGGAAGUAAAUAUGCACGUCUUGACGGUACCUAAUCAGAAAGCCACGGCUAACUACGUG